This 253-nucleotide ribosomal RNA is filed under the name uncultured prokaryote. RNAcentral describes it as "partial 16S ribosomal RNA". It matches the Rfam family "Bacterial small subunit ribosomal RNA", at positions 525 to 777 of the family's 1533-position model. The record is from RNAcentral.
ACAGAGGGUGCAAGCGUUGUUCGGAAUUAUUGGGCGUAAAGCGCGUGUAGGCGGCUUUGCAAGUCGGGUGUGAAAUCCCUCAGCUUAACUGAGGAAGGGCGCCCGAAACUGCAGAGCUGGAGUCCUGGAGAGGAAGGCGGAAUUCUCGGUGUAGAGGUGAAAUUCGUAGAUAUCGAGAGGAACACCGGUGGCGAAGGCGGCCUUCUGGACAGUGACUGACGCUGAGACGCGAAAGCGUGGGGAGCAAACAGGA